UACGGGGGGGGCAAGCGUUGUUCGGAAUUACUGGGCGUAAAGGGCUCGUAGGUGGCCAACUAAGUCGGACGUGAAAUCCCUCAGCUUAACUGGGGAACUGCGUCCGAUACUGGAUGGCUCGAGUUUGGGAGAGGGAUGCGGAAUUCCAGGUGUAGCGGUGAAAUGCGUAGAUAUCUGGAGGAACACCCGUGGCGAAGGCGGUUCUCUGGGACGGUACUGACGCUGAGACGCGAAAGCGUGGGGAGCGAACAGG
Molecule: ribosomal RNA, 253 nt
Filed under: uncultured bacterium
Lineage: Bacteria
Description: partial 16S ribosomal RNA
Rfam family: Bacterial small subunit ribosomal RNA
Source: RNAcentral